AUGUGAAAUAUCGGCCGACAAAUCGGCCGAUGUGAAAUAUUUGCCUUCGGCAAAUGUGAAAUAUUCGGCUGCCGCCGAAUGUGUGAUUUACU
RNAcentral lists this unclassified non-coding RNA (92 nucleotides) under Aristaeella lactis. RNAcentral's name for it is "Gut-1 RNA". Lineage: Bacteria; Bacillati; Bacillota; Clostridia; Eubacteriales; Aristaeellaceae. The record is from RNAcentral.